Molecule: ribosomal RNA, 819 nt
Filed under: uncultured bacterium
Lineage: Bacteria
Description: bacterial SSU rRNA
Rfam family: Bacterial small subunit ribosomal RNA
Source: RNAcentral
UCGAGCGGUAGAGAGAAGCUUGCUUCUCUUGAGAGCGGCGGACGGGUGAGUAAUGCCUAGGAAUCUGCCUAGUGGUGGGGGAUAACGUUCGGAAACGGACGCUAAUACCGCAUACGUCCUACGGGAGAAAGCGGGGGAUCUUCGGACCUCGCGCCAUUAGAUGAGCCUAGGUCGGAUUAGCUAGUUGGUGAGGUAAUGGCUCACCAAGGCGACGAUCCGUAACUGGUCUGAGAGGAUGAUCAGUCACACUGGAACUGAGACACGGUCCAGACUCCCACGGGAGGCAGCAGUGGGGAAUAUUGGACAAUGGGCGAAAGCCUGAUCCAGCCAUGCCGCGUGUGUGAAGAAGGUCUUCGGAUUGUAAAGCACUUUAAGUUGGGAGGAAGGGCAGUAACCUAAUACGUUAUUGUUUUGACGUUACCGACAGAAUAAGCACCGGCUAACUUCGUGCCGGCAGCCGCGGUAAUACGAAGGGUGCAAGCGUUAAUCGGAAUUACUGGGCGUAAAGCGCGCGUAGGUGGUUCAGUAAGUUGGAAGUGAAAUCCCCGGGCUCAACCUGGGAACUGCUUUCAAAACUGCUGAGCUAGAGUACGGUAGAGGGUGGUGGAAUUUCCUGUGUAGCGGUGAAAUGCGUAGAUAUAGGAAGGAACACCAGUGGCGAAGGCGACCACCUGGACUGAUACUGACACUGAGGUGCGAAAGCGUGGGGAGCAAACAGGAUUAGAUACCCUGGUAGUCCACGCCGUAAACGAUGUCAACUAGCCGUUGGGAGUCUUGAACUCUUAGUGGCGCAGCUAACGCAUUAAGUUGACCGCCUGG